UUUUAAGGGUGGGAUUGUUAUGUGGGAGUGUUUUAAUCUGUGUUUCAUUGCAGUUUCCCUGGUCACUCUCCUGCAAUUAACAGGUUAAUUGGAUCCACCUGAAGGGAGUCACUUUAAAUCUAGGACACAUGCUCUUGCUCUCUCUCUCGUUUUGCAGCCAGCACUGCGGUAGCAGUGUUUCUGCUUCUUCAGUCCCUUUUUUUUCCCUUUUGUUAUUAAAAUAAACUUAUUUUGAUUGGCAUACUUUUGUUUUGUGUCCUUUAUGUUGCAUCCCUAGAGCCAGGGUUGUAACAAUCAGUUAAAAAAUGGUUUUAAGUCAGUUAUUUCUAUCGUCUCCAAGAUGUGGAAAACACACUCAAAGGGCUCCUAUGAAGUCAUCGUGUGAAACACUGCCCAAAGCCACUAGAAGGCAAGCCUACAACCUUUAGUCAAAAAAAGCGCAACGGCUAAUGCUAACGGAAUGGAGACCAGAGGCCUUUAUACAGACAGACCCAGUCAGCUCCCAAUAGUAAGACAAUCUCUGCUGAAAGCUGAUCUCAGACUGGAGUCAGACAGAGGCGUUUAUCCCGACAGGAGUUUGUUCCGCUGGAUCAACACUGCCACCUACAGAACGCUGUUCAGGUCAUUAUUUUUUCUCACAUUGAGUGAAACGACUCACUGUGACCCGUUACUUGAUUAACCCAAGUGGAUGCUUUAGAUCCACACAUCUGACAAAUGAGAAGCUGGGAACGUGGUAUUGCAGCAGAUACACACUACCGGAUGUGUGUGUGGCUUUAGCCAAUGAGAAAGGCCCACGGAGAGGGAGGGAGGAGCCGUGUAGUUUUAU
Cyprinus carpio carpio is the source of this 826-nucleotide long non-coding RNA. The record is from Ensembl. Lineage: Eukaryota; Metazoa; Chordata; Actinopteri; Cypriniformes; Cyprinidae.